Molecule: long non-coding RNA, 291 nt
Filed under: Ananas comosus (pineapple)
Lineage: Eukaryota; Viridiplantae; Streptophyta; Magnoliopsida; Poales; Bromeliaceae
Description: long non-coding RNA (ACOM_LNC026063)
Source: RNAcentral
AUGAGUAGUUAUCCUCGUUGCCUCAUCCAUAAUCUUUCGACCAAUAAAAGAGAAGUUCACUGUCUUCCCGUGUGAAUUAACACACAAUUCCAUUCAUAAUGAGAAAUAUCAUCAUGAAUUUAAUACACUGAAGUUAAAUGUCGUUAUACUCUCAACAACUCUCACAACUCUCACAACUCUUAGAAUAGUUCUAAUUACUAUUCUAACACUAGAACCUUACAAUUUGCUAAAGUUCAGUUUACUACAGCUUCUCUACUCAUUUGUUUUUCUUUUGAGUUUUUUUAGUAAACU